This 2743-nucleotide long non-coding RNA is filed under the name Equus caballus (horse). RNAcentral's name for it is "lncRNA (ENSECAG00000045139.1)". The record is from RNAcentral. Lineage: Eukaryota; Metazoa; Chordata; Mammalia; Perissodactyla; Equidae.
AAGAGGCAGAAUUUUUCAGGCAGUUAAGAUAUCAGUUUUGCUUUUUGCUUUUUUAAAAUUUUAACUAGAUAUGCUCAUGUAAUGCUUCUACUGCACCCCUUGAAUUUAGAAAGAUGGAUCCUCUUAGUUUAUGCCAGAAGAACCCAGUCCUACUCAUGGCUUAUCAGAAACACAUGCGGCUCCCAAAGGUUGGAGUAAAUAUUUAUUUAUUUUCCCUUUGAGCCACUUUUCAACAAGUACUGGCUCAAUACUGUGUGGGCACACAGAAGCCUCUUCUGCUUGCUCUCCUAUCCUCUCACCUUCUCUGCUUUCAUUUCCCCCAGGGCCCCAGCUUCAUCCUGUCACUGCUGCUGGACCAGAGCCAGUGAAGGCCAUCUCUUAGGGCUCCCCACAACUCCUUAACUGAGGUCCUGUUUGCCUCUGUUUUUAAAUUCUUCAGGUAGGGCAUCCACCACAUAAGCCAGCCUCUUUUGAGCUAAAACCAAUCACCUUCCAUAGGAUAAUUUGUAUUUCAUACAAAAGACCCUCUCCCCACGAAGCCAGAACAGGGAGGGACAAUGGGGGUGGACACUGGGUUGAAUCUACAGAAAAUAUAUGGAAGAAUUUCCUACUCAAGUCCCCACACUGAAGCCUGGCAUAGAGGCCAUUCCGUGGCUUUCUUUAUAAGGUCACCCAACACGAAGCUUAAGCCCCUGAGGUCUAAUUAGGAGGGUUAAGCGUUUAACAGAGGAUUCACAUUGCUGAAGAGCAACUGGAUGGAAGCAUCAUCCUCUGCCCCCCUCGGCAUUCUAAUUCUAACAGCAUUGAAAGUCCUGUCAUCCCCGUGAGUCAGUGAGCAGCCAGGCUCAGUCUGUCCCUGUGACACCCAUCACUGGAUGUGUUUGGCUUUGCCGGCCAUAUGGCAGCUCAGAAGAGCUCUUUUGUAGUUUGAUGGUCUGGAAACUACUAAGGUUCUCUUGACAUUCUGUGUUGCUGGCUCGUUUCUGUUUGGGAAGAGCGGAUGCUGCUAGGGCUUACCUUGCCCUUGACUCUACUGAGGGAGCAUUAUGAACCAAUCAUUUUCAUCGCUCAAGCGGGAUUAUCUUAACCUGCAAGGCAGAUGGUUUUUGAGCACUUGGCUGAUGCCUGAUGCCCAAUUGGGAUUAAUCUCCACAUCCUAACAAGAGGAACGACUAUUUCUCAGGGAACAGAAGCGGAGGUGCAUUCAGGCCAUAUGUGUAACUUUGGGAUCAGCUUUCUGUGAUGAAACUGGAAGCGAAUCCCAGAUGAGAGGCUCAACUGUUUCAGAAGAACAUUGCAAAGCCCAGCGCGCCUAACCAAGUUGUCACACACAGAGCAGAACUAUUGAUGAGAGCCAUCCAACAUCUGUUGCCUGGGUAACCAUCAAUCCACUAAGCCGGCUCUGAGUCAUAAAUGGCGUGGGGAGAAGAUCUGCUGGGACAGAGGGCAGCGCAAACUCUUUUCAUCCUUCCCCAUCUCCAGAUGUGGCCUACGGCUGCCACACAAGGUUAAUAGAAGCCUAUUAUCAAAUCCCUACAGACCUAAAAGAAACCCUCUUUCCCUGACCCUCACUCAAAGUUUCUUGGACCUCCAUUAGUUUUUUCACAAAACCUCCCCAGAUUCUUAACAGUGCUUAGCAUAUUACCAUUGCUAAGCAGCACUACUCAAAAUGCCAGUCUGCUGAUUGGUGCUACGUUAUUCCACACCAGCAUCUGGCUCCCAGCCCGCACUUGGAGUAGCACUGGGCUAGAGCACCUACUCCUUAGGACCACUGUGGUAGCCAGUCAGAGCUCACACACUUACCGUGACUUUCACUUGGGACUUUGGUAACGGGAAAACCUACUACAUGGUUCUCCUUUCAUGUAUUCCAUCACAUCCAAUAUGCUGAACACAAUGUAGAGAGAAAAAUGAAUAAUAUGCCUUUGCAGAGUAACUAGUUCUAGUUCUCUAAAAAUACUCCAGGAUGUAUUCCCAAAAGAACUGAAAAUAAUUUUCAAGCAAAAACUUAUACAUAAAUGUUCAUAGCAGCGCUAUUUACCACAGCCAAAAGGUGGAAACAACCCAAAUGUCCAUCAGUGGAUGAAAGGACAAGCAAAAUGUAGUAUAUAAAGAAAAUAUAGUACCCACAGUUCCAUCACCCAAAACCAAAUACUGUUCACAUCUUGUUUCAGUUUAUGUUCCAUAGUAAUAAUUCAUUCUGCAUAUAUAAUUUAUAUUUUGUUUUCAAACUUUAUGUUAUUUCCAAAGUAUUGCCUGUGUUCCAUAAGUUUCAUGAGCUUAAACUACCAGGUAGAGGUUCCUGAUACAUAUUUCUUAAAUUGCUUCUUAAUAUUGUACUAAUUUAUACUGACCCCCGUAAUAUAUGAAAAUAUCUAUUUCACAUACAUCCUUGCUAGAAUUGACUAGUCUCCUAAAAAAGAAAAGAGAUUACUACAUGAUUGUUUUAAUACUUUCUUUGAUCGUUAGUAAGGUUGUCACUCUACAACUUUAUUCUGUUUUGAAAAAACAAAUAAAUGUUUAGUAGAGACUUCUCUAUGCUUUGUUUUUGUCAGAGUACAUAACAACUAGUCAUUACUGUUUGGGGGAGAACCCAAUGGUAAAUGCUUUAAAAUACUAGACUAAACUAGACACAGUUGUCUCUGAAGAAAGAACCAGAGAAUUGGAAGGCUGAUAUGAUCAAAUUACCUAGAAUGCAAUACUGAGCAGAGAUAGAAAAUAUGAAAAAUAAGAACAUAGAAGUCAA